Molecule: non-coding RNA, 1938 nt
Organism: Phoenix dactylifera (date palm)
Lineage: Eukaryota; Viridiplantae; Streptophyta; Magnoliopsida; Arecales; Arecaceae
Source: RefSeq, a predicted model, not a curated record
CACCUGAGUGGGACCCGUUGCCACCCCUCCCUUCCGGAAUUUAGGGAAGGUUCUUGGCCGUUUGAAAUCGGGAUGAAACUACAAAGGCGGGAGGAACGCCGAAGGCAAAAAUCCUCUUCCCUUCCCAACAACAAACCACCACUGAAAAGUUGAAACCAAGGAGAGAUGAAGUUCAAAGCUUUCCUCACCCAGGAUGGCGUCAACCUCCUCGACAAGCGCUUCCUCCCGGCCCUUGAUAAGCUCGGCCGCAUCUGCCAUGUCUACCUGACGCCCGAUCACGCCAUGUUCCUCCACAAUCUCCUCGGCGGCGAUGGCGUCCAGUCCGUCGCCCAGUUCAAGAAGGACGUCCUCUUCCGGGACUACCGCAUCUCCAGCCAGAACGCUGACCGUAUCGCCUUCGCCAUCGACGCUGCCCUCCUCCACCGCGCCCUCCGCAGUGCUGUCACCAUCCAGACCCAGGCCGGGGAUGGCACGGCCUCUAUCCAGAUUAAGCUUGUCAAGAAGCUCCCUGCCGGGUCUCGCAAUUCCGCGCCAUACCUCACCUUUGAGACAAAAGGCCUGCGCUCUGCUGUUGUGCAGGACGUCCCCAUCUCGAAGCCUCUCUCUCGGACCGAUGUUCUCCAGCUUCAGUCUGCCCUUGAUGCUGCCCAGGACCUCCCCCGGACUCUGGUUCAGGUACCGGAUCUGGCCCAGAUGCAGAACCUGGUUGACCGGCUCAAGAAUGUUGGGGAUCUGCUCGCCGUCGCCAUUACACAGUACGGGGACCUCCAUCUGCAAGUCUCGACCUCUCUCAUCACUGUUGGUUCAGAGUUCAGGAGGCUCAGGGUCCUUGGGGUGCAUGCCAAUGCUCCAGUGGGGGACCAGAACUUGAGUGCUCCAACACGCACUGAAAUGGCAAUUCAAAGGGGGGAGGCACUUUCCAUUCACGUGAGCAUGAAGCACCUUGCAAGGAGUCUGCAAUGCCAUUUGGCCAAGCCAGAUUGUGCCUUUUAUGGUAUAGCUCCACAAGGUGCUUGCUUGAUGGUGAUAUUCCAGUUCUUCAUCCCGGGAACAAGAUUGACGGAUAAAUCCAUCAGCUUCCACUGCAGACUUCCAGUCCUUGACCCAGGCUCUAGCUGAGAAAAGGCAGUGCAAGAUUACAUGAUCUCGAGUAGAUGGUUCCAAAAAGAUUAGACAGCAUCUCCCAUAUACUUCAUUCCUGGAAGGAAGGGGAGUUUGUAACAAAUGCUUCCAAUGUGAAAUGCCUCAAGAUUGGGAGGAAGACUUCAAGGGUUCUUGUUACCGGUGGAGAAGAUCACAAGGUCAAUCUCUGGGCUAUUGGCAAACCCAAUGCCAUACUGCUGACAAUGUGCAGAGCCUGUCAGGCCAUACAAGUGCAGUCGAGUCGUUAAAUUUUGAUUCAUCAGAAGCUUUAGUGGCUGCUGGAUCUGCCAGUGGCAUGAUAAAGUUGUGGGAAUUAGUGGAGGCAAAAGCUAAGAACCAGAAUUGAUCCCCGUGUUGUUUGCACUCUAGCAGGGCACAGGUUCAACUGUGUAUCUGUUGAUUUUCAUCCAUUUGGGGAAUUCAUUGCAUCUGGAUCUUUGGAUACAAACCUAAAGAUAUGGGAUGCUGAAGGAAGGGAUGCAUCCACACAUACAAAGGGCAGAGCGGACGGGUCAAUGCCAUUAGAUUCACCCCAGAUGACCGAUGGGUUGUUUCAGGUGGAGAAGAUAACAUUGUGAAGGUAUUGCAGCAGAUCUCACAUUUUGGGCUGUCUCCUAUCUAGGAAGUUUCAAAACCAAGAGUGGGACUUUUUGGCAUUUUUAUAUUAUUGUAUAUUUUUCUUUCAUUUUUAUUUUCUCUCUCUCUUUUUUAUAAGGUGAAUGCUAUAAAAACGAUUUGGUAAGAAUUGCUGGCCAUGUUUAGUAAUAGAAGGUGGCAAAUAAACACAUUAUUUUU